RNAcentral lists this long non-coding RNA (1617 nucleotides) under Nicotiana tabacum (common tobacco). RNAcentral describes it as "long non-coding RNA (NTAB_LNC017528)". Lineage: Eukaryota; Viridiplantae; Streptophyta; Magnoliopsida; Solanales; Solanaceae. The record is from RNAcentral.
CCGGUCAAACUUAGGUUAAUUUAUCUAGAUUAAAACACAAUUAUAAAAGUAGGCUGAAUUUUAUGUCUUCUACUAAAUAUUGGCCAACUAGGUGACAAAUUAUAACUAAGUAAAAAAUAAUGCAGUAAUCGGUAUCGGUUGACUUCUUAGCUAAUUAAAGUUUAGAAAAAUGUUUAAACUGUUUAAGGAUCUAAUUGGUUUAAGAAACUAGUUUUAGUUUGAUGAAACCAACAAUUCAAGACAUUCCUAAAAGAGAAAGAUUUUGAAAGAAACAUUUACUACGUUAGAAAUUGUUAAAGGAUAGAAAGACAGUUUUAACAUGUGUUCUUUAGAAAACAUCUUAUGUUUAUUAUCGUCAUUGGAAAAGUUUUGUCCAAAAGUUUUUGGGAGGGUCAUUUUAAGAAAAAAGUUUCUAAGUUCCUAUAUCUAAAGGCCACAUUUAUAUGAUUAAGAUAGUAUCGAAUGGACAAUAAGAGUAAACAUACUAUGCUAACACGAAUUUAACAUAUAAUCCCAUAAAUUGAGAUAAACUUAAAUCACACAAAUGAAUGUCAAAUAGCAUGAAUGAAAGACGCCAUAGGCGUCCCCAAACGUUCAGCUUGUUUUUCUCGCUAUCCGGUGCUCUAAGGAAGACGGUAUGCAACGACUCCAUGUGGCGGUGGUAGCGUUGAGUCUCUGUGAGACUCCACUGCGAGAGCCUCGAAUUAAGACUUCAUUUGCUCCAGAAUAUACAUGUAAAGAAAGAAAUAAAGAUAAAGAAUUAGAGCAGUGAACUAUUGAUUCUUUAAAAUUGAUACCAUUAACAGAAUAUGUAUUCAUUGCUACUUCUUUUUGUUCUCGUACCAUAAACCAUGGGGGGACGCAAUUUCAAUACAGCCAGGUUAACAUAUUAGAUAUACACAUAUCACUUCCUUUCCAUCAAUGUCCUAUAGACAUGAUACUACAUUCGCUAAUCCCAGAGUCAUGUUUUCUACAUCUUUUGCAGGGCAGCGAACUGAGGCGGGUCUUAAUGCGCUAUCGAACUUCGAUCUUGACUUUACUCCUUCCUCUCGAACAAAAGCAGACUCUACUAAAUAAAUAGAGGAUAACCAAAUUUCUACUAUGGUAAAUACCAAAUAGAAACAGUAGAGGUGUUGAAGUCAAAGGGUGAAUCUUAGAGAGGAGAAGAGCGGUCAAAUAUUUGGUUUCGAAGGGUGAAGGCAGCAACCCCGUCUCCUCCCCGAAAAUCUCUUCAGAGGUCAGUAUAUAUAAGCUGAUUUCUAGGGUUCUUGGUUCCUUUGAGCGGGAAUUUGAAAUUCAGAUUUCAAAAUAAGUCAAAUGUAUCCGUUUGAAUUUUAACGUUGCACCCUUUUGGAUGGAUUCGAUCAGAAGGAGAAAAGGAAAAGAGAUAUGUGAAAUCAGAAUCCCUAAUGCCAAAAAUAACAAAACUUGGCUGCUGUUUGCGAAAUUGGUUGUACUUGGAAACCAAAAAUAAGAAAAUAACAAUGGGAGAUUUUCAGAGUAAAGAAAGAGAUGGAGAAAAUCCUGAAAAGUUUGUCCAAGAGUCUGUAUGUUAGGAAUGAGGGGAUGGGGUACCGUGGGUCCCAGUCAACUUGGCGUUGGAAUUGAGGUUAUAAU